This 1027-nucleotide long non-coding RNA is filed under the name Bos grunniens (domestic yak). RNAcentral's name for it is "lncRNA (ENSBGRG00000007880.1)". The record is from RNAcentral. Lineage: Eukaryota; Metazoa; Chordata; Mammalia; Artiodactyla; Bovidae.
AUGAGAUAUAGAGGCAACAAAGAAAGAAUUAAUUCAAGGUUUAGCACAGUUGGUUGCAGGAAGGUUGACUUUCAAUGCAUCCAUUAUCAUUUUGGAUACACUGGGAUGCAGCCAUCCCAAUAUAAUGUAGAGCUCGGUACUUGCAAAAUGAAAGAAAGAAAGAAAGAAAAAAACAAACAUAAGCAACCUUAUUUAAAUCUUCAUGUGUAUACCUAUGGCUGUUUCUUGUUGAUGUUUGACAAAAAACAACAAAAUUCUGUAAAGCAAUUAUCCUUCAACUAAAAAAUAAUUAAAUUGGAAAAGAAAAAAAAAUUCUCCAAUGAAUUCUUUCUGGGUUGCAUCUCACAAAUUAUUUAUAUCUUAUAUGGCAGUGAAUUGAUUAGAAAUCCAUACCACAAUAACUUGCAGACACUCUGGAUCUUGGGCUUUGGCUAGCAAAGGUGGUGCUCCAGUCAGUCAGGGAACUCCAUUAGUACAACCCUAAGGACUCCUUGGCCUAUCCAGGCAGCACUGUUUGGGGGUAAGAGGAUGCCCGGCUGCCAAGGUGAGAAGCCUAAUAACAAAAGGCUAAUUAACACUUCCGUCGUUUAAAGUGCCUAUUUCAAAAGUGCCUAUUACUCCACUGAGAAGUAGAAAAGAGUUUCCACAGGUUCCCACGACCACAUCUCCCACCGACCUGCAGAUGUGCCAUGUACUCUUCCUUUCCUCCAGGUAAGAAUCAUCCCUGCCCUUAUCUAAAGCCAAACUCUUCACUUGUGUAAGAGAUCCCUUCCCUCCUGCUUCCCCAAGGAGUGUCUUCCUGCAUUUGUCUUGUUUCUCCCGCACAGUGAAUCUCUUCUCUCUGCUGGAUGAUACCAGGAGGCCAGAUACCUCUCACUUUUAGAGCCCUCCCCUUGAUUCCAUAUCUCCUCCAGCUCUUGUCUCAAAUCUCUUCUCCACUCAGAGAUACUUAAGAGUUGUUUCCUGUUCCCUGGACCUUAUUCUCUCCUUACCUUUCUUCUUCCCACCCCUUUAGACACACGCUUGU